GUUUACGGCCAAUAUUAUCAGGUGGGAGCGAAGACGCAUAAACUUACACGCGUUAUGCCUACGAUCAGCUGAUUUCGCACUUCGUGUCAAUUUCGUAACAAGCAAACAAUCGUUCCAAGUAUCUAAAGAGAAAAAACUCCUGGUGCAUCUGAAACGUCAACUUUUACCACAACAAUUAAAAUGUUAUCCAUCCAAAUAACUCCGGGUGUCGGAUUCGAAAAUCAAGGACGGCAGUUUGGCACGGAUUUCAAGCGGCAUGCUGAUUUACUUUCACGCGGACAAUGAAAUUUCGUUCACGGCCAAUACGCUGUUUAAAUAACAGUAGAGAGUGUCGGCGCAUAUCGAGGAGCGUGGGCAAAGUAGCAACGAUUACUCGGAUGGUAUUGAAGAACCAUGAUUCCGGACGUGCUAAUGAUUGCGACACAGUCGCAAUCGCCGUAAACCAAAUCAGAAGGAGCGUAAGAGGGAGGGGGAAAGCAGGUAGAAAGACAUUUGUAUAGUACGCGCCGGACAGAGAGAAGGCGUUGCAUUGUAAACUCUAUGACCGACUUUAUAAGCGAUCGGCUAGGAUACAGUGCCUCCAACGGUCGAUCGGCGCAACUAACCGCCAUGUUGUUUCCAAACCCGAAAUCAAGUUCGCACCACUCUUUACAAAGAGAAAGGUAAACGCUGAUCGCUACCUCGUCCGAAAUUAUGACAUAACUUUGGUUUCGCUGUGUUUUUUUGUGGAAAGGGAAUUGAACGUUCGUAAAAAGAGAAUGGAAUUUUUCUUUUUUCUUUUCC
This 783-nucleotide unclassified non-coding RNA is filed under the name Bombus terrestris (buff-tailed bumblebee). RNAcentral describes it as "misc RNA ENSBTSG00005020429.1". The record is from RNAcentral. Lineage: Eukaryota; Metazoa; Arthropoda; Insecta; Hymenoptera; Apidae.